ACACUCAGCUGACAAAGGUGGCUUCCCCAGGGCGAGGCUCACCCAUUGCACCCGGGUAUGCUGAGCCCUGCAGUUCCUCCGAAUGUGGAGAUGCUGACUGUCUACUCUGCAGUAGUGUUCCUGCUCUCCCCGGGAGGAACCCUACUU
Molecule: small nuclear RNA, 147 nt
Filed under: Octodon degus (degu)
Lineage: Eukaryota; Metazoa; Chordata; Mammalia; Rodentia; Octodontidae
Description: U1 spliceosomal RNA (ENSODEG00000021041.1)
Rfam family: U1 spliceosomal RNA
About the family: U1 is a small nuclear RNA (snRNA) component of the spliceosome (involved in pre-mRNA splicing).
Source: RNAcentral